ACAUGCAAUCAGCGUUGCUGAAAGCAGCUGUCCAGGUCUCUUGUCGCUUAAAUUCCACUUCUCCUUGGAGCGGGGAUGAAGUCUGAGAUCUCGAAUGUGGCCUCUGAGGCCCCAUAAGAUCAGGCCCUGCUUUGUGUCCUGAUGCCAAGGUCCUCAAUGCUGAGAGCCCUGAGCCCAAGACAAGGUGUGGUGCACACAGACCUUGCCUGGAUCUUUUCGAAACCAGUGGUGGAUGGCCAAGAUUCAUUUCCACUUAUUUCCCAUGCAAAAGGCAAAGUUGUCAGCUGUUUGGUGAAUAUGUCAGAGCUCUGGCCUAGAAGAAUCUCCUGGAACCCUGGCUGCCUGGGUCCCCAGGUAUCAAUGUCAACAACAAUCCGUGUCCAACAUCUUCAAAAUGUUUGGGCAUUUACCCUCCCCAGAGUCCAGUUACCCAAGGAAAUGGCUGCAGGUCCCUUUGGAGGAAGGUCUGGGAGAUUAGCUUCUUCUUCAGUCCGUCUUGCCCUCAGCUUCCUGAUGAGCCAUCCUUGGUUUAUUUUAGUUGUAGAGGUUGAGCAAUAAUACUUUGUUGGCUGCCUGUUUUUCCCCUCGAAUGCAAAUUUCUUUUUACCAUUUCCGUAGCUCUUUGUGGGUUAGAUCCCACUAGCUGUCACACCCACUUUGCUGCCCCUUAUGAUAAUUACAUUAUGAUGACUACAAACACCUUGCAUUGGACAGUAAGUGCUACCUCUAUCAGUCCCAUUGUUACUAGGGAGCCCAGGCCUAUAUCAUCUACCUUUGGAUAUCCUGUAAUAGUCUUGACCUUCAGAGAAGAGCACCCACUGAGCUUCUUCAUGACACUUGCCCUCUCACCGGCGUAUUCUUCUUGCUUUGGCAAAUACAGCAUUCUUCUAGGCCCUCUUGUGAAAAAAAAACCUAUCAGCUGUUCGGUUCUCUGGCCUUGUAUGGUAUAUCCACUCUAGCUUGCCUAUUUUCUGAGCCUUUCAUCCCUUCCUUCCCCAUCCUCCAUGAUCUGACAUCUCCAUUUGACUUGGCAUCACAUUUUCUAAGCGUCCAACUCCUGGGGUCCUUACCAGGAUGUUAAAUGUUGCAUCAAAGGAGAGUGCUUCCAUAGCAAUACAUUUUCCCCAUCCAGCUUUGCAUUUCAUCCCACUUUGUCCAGCAGUCUCUCUAUUCCCUCCUGCACAUGUGCUUGUGGCACUUGUAGGACAUAUUGGCUGGGUCCCACAGCUCUCUGGGCUAUAGUUCGUUUCUUCCCUUAGCACGUUUACACUUUUCUGGCUAGAAUAUGUUGUGGCUUGACCUUACCUAUGGGUCUGGUGGCCAAGAGUAGAUUUUUGAGGGGAGAAGGAGGGAGUUGUCAUGCAUUGUCUUGCAAAGCAGAACCUCAUCAUCAUCUUCAUGCAAAAGCAGGCAUUAGCCUUUAAGGAGAAGAGUAGGAUACUAUUCCAGGCCUAGAGAAUUCCAGAGGAUCUGGGAACUUGAGAACUUGAGAUGUUUUAAUAUAUGAACCCAAAUGUCCCCAUCCCACUCUUUCCUAAUCAUAGAACUGACUUUGGCCUAGCCGACCUGCCAGGACUAAACUUCAGUGUUGCUUUCAGUAUUUCUACUCUUAUAAUUAAACCUGGGGCCUGCUUCUCAGCUGUAUCUGCCCUGCAGUUGCAGAGGAUAAUAGUCUUUUCAUAGGCUUCAUAUAAAAGCCAAGAGGUCCUCUGGUAUGUGUACCUUGCCUUAUAUUGGUGUUUAAUCACUUAGUCUUUUAUUAAAUUUCUCCAAUGAAUUAACAGCUUCUAGCAACAACCAUCUGAUUCCAUAGUUCUUAUAAUUACUAUUUCCCCCAAAACUCUUAAACACCUGAGAUCUCGCAUCUGCCAGAGCAGUUUCUUCCCAAGUAUCAUGUCCUAGUUCACCACCAGUGAAAAUUUUAACAAGUGAAUCAUAACUGCAAGUGCCUACCACCAGUGAUGAGGUCUUCACUGAAGCAGCUAGCAGAUGACAGCUCCAACAUGCUGCUGGGACCAACGUUCAUAGGUCAAGUUCCCCAGAAAACAGACUGUGUGCAGGAGGUUUCCUAUGAGUGGUCUCAGGACCAGCCCCUGCGAGGGGUGAGGGAAGCAGAAGUGGGCAGGGGGAAUAAACUAUGAUCCAGUUGCAACAGCAGACUCAGCCAAUCCUGUGGGGAGCUCUGGAACUGGACUCUUUCCAGUUGAGGCAAGACGGCUGGAACCCUGUGCCCCUUCAUCAGUGAGUAAUAGGAUGCAGGCUGCCUCCAGGUAAGGGAUGUAUCUUUGGGUGAGACUGCUUCUUAGGACCAAUGGUAAUUCUGGAGAGGGGCUCAGCAAGAGGCUACAAUAUCUACAUCUUGCAGCAGCUAGGGGAAGUAGUGCUCCCAUCCUGAUGGCACAUCUGGGCAGCAUGUCCCUUCACUUUUUCUCUCCAAUGAGAGAGAAGAAAAGAGAUUAAAAAUAAAAUAGCCCCUUUGUUUUAUAUUUGAAAUGAUUGCUCUUGUGAUUAUAAUUUGCAACCUUAAUAUAAAAUGCACUGAAUUAACCUUCUACCACGUCAGAUACGAGGUUUGUUGUUGUUGUUGUUGUUGAUGAUGAUGUUGUUUUUGAGACGGAGUCUCGCUCUGUCACCCAGGCUGCGGUGCAGUGGCAUGAUCUUGGCUCACUGCAAGCUCUGCCUCCUGGGUUCAUGCCAUUCACCUGCCUCAGCCUCCCGAGUAGCUGGGAAUACAGGCAUCUACCACCGCGCCCAGCUAAUUUUUUUUUUUUUUUAUUUUUAGUAGAGAUGGGGUUUCACCGUGUUAGCCAGGAUGGUCUCAAUCUCCUGACCUCAUGAUCCACCCACCUUGGCCUCCCAAAAUGCUGGGAUUACAGGCAUGAGCCACUGCAUCUGGCCCAGAUACAAGGUUUUAAUGGUAUAUUCACAUUUACCUGCUUCUCCAUCUUUGGUGCUAUGAUGCCAUAUAUUUUACUUCUACAUAUGUUAUAAACCCCAUAAAUCCCAUAGCAUAUUGCUAUUAUUUGUGCCUUGAACAAUUACCUUUUAAAGCAAUGAUGAAAAGCAGCCUUUCAUAGUGACUCGCAUAUUUGCCCUUUUGGGUGCUCUGCAUUUCAGUAUCAGUGGAGAUACCUUGCUGAUCUUGUCAGUAUUUCAGGUAAGAAGGGGUUAAGCUGCGAUUCCAGAUGCCCUUGGUUCCUCGUGAGGUAAACUCUGGGCUUCUGAAUCCAAGCACCACGGGGCAUGUUUUCCAGUUUCUCUUCCACUGCCACCUCCUCAACAAAAUUUGGGACUGGGUGUGGUCUAGGCAGGCUGAAUUACUGGGCUGAGUGCUUUGUUUGGGGCUCCUCCAGAUGCCAUCCACCCUGCCAGCUGGCACAGUCAGGCUCAGCUGAGUUCUCCCCAUCCCUGCAGAGUCUCCCUGGCUCCAGCAGGACCCUCCUCCAUCUUGUAAUUCAGGGAUCUGACUCCCUCCCGCAGGUGUGGAAGCUGCUCACCAUAAAGGUCUCACUUCUCUCUGGAGUUCAGGUCAUCCAAGAUUUCUUGCAUCCCACUGCUCUUAACUAGCCUGGUAGAGAAGCACACUUUUUAUUUUGUCCCAGCUUUUCUUGUAGUUCUCUCAGAAACAAAGGUCUUUCCCGUUCUCUUACGUUCUAACCAGAAGCAGAGGUCCUCUGCCUGCUUGCCUGGCCUUUGCUCUCUUUCCUCCUGCAUCAGUGGAUUGCUGUGAGGAGCUGAUGUGGAUCAUAUUAUAUUAUGAGCCAGGAAGAUCACAGGGCUCUGGUUUACCCAAAGCCAGUAGCUGGGCUGCUCGAUGGGUCACUCCCACUUGGAAUGAUCACUGCAUCUCCCUUUAUCUCAAGGAAACACUAGUGGAAUCACCAGAGCACAUACAGCAUUGCAG
Molecule: long non-coding RNA, 3904 nt
Filed under: Homo sapiens (human)
Lineage: Eukaryota; Metazoa; Chordata; Mammalia; Primates; Hominidae
Description: non-protein coding lnc-FGFR2-2:9
Source: RNAcentral